GCAGGUGCCAUAGGCAUGAACAAUAGAGGAGCUAUGGGUGCCACCCCUGUCCCAGCCGGCGCACCUCCUGCAGCUGGUCCUGGAGCUAUGAUGCCUGAUGGAGCCAUGGGAAUGGGUCCAGCGUGGUCCAGUUUGCUGAGAUGUCUGCAGACACAGCCAAGUCCCACCCACUAGUACAGGCACUGGUUCACCUCACUGCAGGGGCAGCAGGCGGGGUGGCAUGUGUGGUGAGUGGGCAGCCCUUUGACACAAUCAAGGUGAAGAUGCAAACCUUCCCCACCAUGUACCGGGGUUUCUUUGACUGCUCAGUCCGGACAUACCAGCAGGAAGGGCUGCCCGGGCUGUACCAGGGCACCGCCCCAGCCCUGCUCGCAAAUGUGGCAGAGAACGCAGUGCUGUUCGCUUGCUAUGGCUUCUGUCAGCAGCUGGUGAGGCAGCUGUUUGGACUGAGCAGUGUGCUGGAGCUGAGCGACCUGCAGAGUGCGCUUGCCGGCUCGUUCUCUUCUGUGUUUUCCUCUAUGGUGCUGUGCCCUGCGGAGCUGGUGAAAUGCCGCAUGCAGGCCUUACAUGAGAUGAAGGUCACCGGGCGAACAGCACUAGGAUGUCACAGCUCUACCUGGGCUACUGUGAAAAAUAUCUUUCAAUCUGAGGGCCUGCUGGGAUUUUUCCAGGGCCUGACCAGUACUUGGCUACGGGAGGUGCCUGGCUACUUCUUCUUCUUUGGUGGCUAUGAAGUCAGUAGAAGCUUUUUCACCCAGGCUGGCCAGUGCAAGGAGGAUCUGGGUUCUCUUCCCCUAACAGUGAGCGGUGGGAUGGGGGGGGCCUGUUUCUGGCUGGCCGUCUAUCCCAUUGAUUCAGUGAAGUCUCGGAUACAGGUGCUUUCCAUGGCAGGGCGGCAAGAUGGCUUCCUGCUCUCCUUUCUUCAUAUUUUGAGGACAGAAGGUUUCAUGGCUCUUUACUGUGGACUGAUGCCCACAGUGAUACGCGCACUCCCCUCCAACGGCGCCCUCUUCCUAGCCUAUGAAAUGACGAGGAAAAAGCUAACUGGCCUGCUUGAUAGGACACCCUGAGUGAUGACAGUGGAAUGUUCGAGGAAGCUCCAGAGAGUAUGCUCCCAUGCUGGAUUUCGUGAGAACCUGUAUGAAAUGCUUUACUGAAGUCCAGAUAUGCUCCCUUUGUACACUGACGUCUGCAUAUCCAGCAGUAGCCAGCACCCUCCUCCUAGCAGCCACCUCUAUUCACUGGAUCUGACAUAUCAGUUCUGAUACUUAAGGCACUUGAGACCCUCCAGAAUGUAUUUUCCUUUGGUUUGGUGAAAGCCUUUGGUUAUUUCUGUAACUUUUGGAUUGUCUGGACCCUUCAGUUCAGGGCAACUGCACCAGUAUUUCCCCUCUGUGGUCCACCAAGGGAUCCACUCUAGGCUCCCAGAUCAUCAUCUGUCACCUCUCUUGGGUGGAAAUUCAUGUCUCUCUCCUUCCUGAUGGGUUUUUUUCCAGGCUACACAGUUCCUUGCCUACACUGUGAUAUUCCCAGCAAGCGAGACUUCCUAAACUGUAUCUGUGCUUUGCUUCUUGUCCUGAGGCUGUGAACGGAGUAAUUAUCAGCAAUCACCAGUCACCACACAGCUCUUUCUAAGCAAGCACAUUUAUUCUUAAGGUGAAAGCAUUACAGAGAAAACAAUAAAAAACGCUCACACAUUCCAAAUGCUCAACGGAGGUCCUCCGACUCCAGCCGCAAGUUCUGGUGGGCAUCAGUCCUUCAGAACCCACAAGGCUGCAAGUUCAUGGCUGUAUCAAAUUCUGAACCAGAACGACCAGCUGGGCAGUUCAUCUGUUUCUUUAUACAGCUUAGGCCUUUGAUCUCCAAUCUUCAGGAACAGCCUCUCUCUGCUGCAGGCUUUGCACAGCAACAUGGCGGAGCAAUGUAAUUAAUCAGCGCAGGGACAGUGAUCUGUGCACAGACCCUUUGCACCACAGAGCAGGAGUUACAAUUGCUGUGUUCGAGCCUUGGAA
Chelonia mydas (Green sea turtle) is the source of this 2012-nucleotide RNA transcript. It is a transcript of the gene named mitochondrial ornithine transporter 1-like, with no coding region annotated. The transcript has 9 exons. NCBI's taxonomy places the organism in Eukaryota, Metazoa, Chordata, Testudines, Cheloniidae. The record is from RefSeq and is a predicted model, not a curated record.